UUCGUCAGUCUGCUGUGAAAGUCCAGGGCUCAACCCUGGAAUGCCGGUAGAUACUGCGAGACUUGAGUCCGGAAGAGGUGAGUGGAAUUCCUGGUGUAGCGGUGAAAUGCACAGAUAUCAGGAGGAACACCAAUUGCGAAGGCAGCUCACUGGGACGGUACUGACGCUGAGACGCGAAAGCGUGGAGAGCAAACAGGAUUAGAUACCCUGGUAGUCCACGCCGUAAACGAUGGGCACUAGGUGUGGGGAGUNUCGACGCUCUCCGUACCGUAGNUAACGCAUUAAGUGCCCCGCCUNGGGAGUACGGCCGCAANGCUAAAACUCAAAGGAAUUGACGGGGGCCCGCACAAGCAGCGGAGCAU
RNAcentral lists this ribosomal RNA (362 nucleotides) under uncultured bacterium. Its description in RNAcentral is "bacterial SSU rRNA". It matches the Rfam family "Bacterial small subunit ribosomal RNA", at positions 580 to 940 of the family's 1533-position model. The record is from RNAcentral.